Molecule: non-coding RNA, 64 nt
Organism: Ipomoea nil (Japanese morning glory)
Lineage: Eukaryota; Viridiplantae; Streptophyta; Magnoliopsida; Solanales; Convolvulaceae
Source: Rfam
UUGAGCUGUACGAGAUGAAAGUCUCAUAUACGGUUCUCAGAGGGGGAAUUCCACCUAUCUCAAU